This 328-nucleotide ribosomal RNA is filed under the name uncultured Pseudomonadota bacterium. Its description in RNAcentral is "bacterial SSU rRNA". It matches the Rfam family "Bacterial small subunit ribosomal RNA", at positions 29 to 351 of the family's 1533-position model. The record is from RNAcentral. Lineage: Bacteria; Pseudomonadati; Pseudomonadota.
AGCGAACGUUAGCGGCGCGCCUAACACAUGCAAGUCGCACGGAGUAGCAAUACUCAGUGGCGCACGGGUGCGUAACACGUAGAUAACCUGCCCCGAAGAGGGGGAUAACGUUCCGAAAGGAGCGCUAAUACCGCAUAACGCCGAGAUGGGUUCGCCUGUUUCGGACAAAGGUUGGGACCAGCAAUGGCCAAUCGUUUUGGGAGGGGUCUGCGGCCCAUCAGCUAGUUGGUAAGGUAAAGGCUUACCAAGGCAAAGACGGGUAGCUGGUCUGAGAGGAUGAUCAGCCACACUGGUACUGGAACACGGACCAGACACCUACGGGUGGCUG